CUACGGAGGGUGCAAGCGUUACUCGGAAUCACUGGGCGUAAAGGACGCGUAGGCGGGUUGUCAAGUCAGAUGUGAAAUCCUACAGCUUAACUGUAGAACUGCAUUUGAAACUGCUAACCUAGAGUAUGGGAGGGGGAGAUGGAAUUAGUGGUGUAGGGGUAAAAUCCGUAGAUAUCACUAGGAAUACCGAAAGCGAAGGCGAUCUCCUGGAACAUAACUGACGCUAAGGCGUGAAAGCGUGGGGAGCAAACAGGAUUAGAAACCCUAGUAGUCC
This 274-nucleotide ribosomal RNA is filed under the name uncultured bacterium. RNAcentral describes it as "partial 16S ribosomal RNA". It matches the Rfam family "Bacterial small subunit ribosomal RNA", at positions 523 to 796 of the family's 1533-position model. The record is from RNAcentral.